This 859-nucleotide ribosomal RNA is filed under the name uncultured bacterium. Its description in RNAcentral is "bacterial SSU rRNA". It matches the Rfam family "Bacterial small subunit ribosomal RNA", at positions 623 to 1482 of the family's 1533-position model. The record is from RNAcentral.
GCAUCAGAAACUGUCGAGCUUGAGUACAGAAGAGGAGAGUGGAACUCCAUGUGUAGCGGUGAAAUGCGUAGAUAUAUGGAAGAACACCGGUGGCGAAGGCGGCUCUCUGGUCUGUUACUGACGCUGAGGCUCGAAAGCAUGGGUAGCGAACAGGAUUAGAUACCCUGGUAGUCCAUGCCGUAAACGAUGAGUGCUAAGUGUUGGGAGGUUUCCGCCUCUCAGUGCUGCAGCUAACGCAUUAAGCACUCCGCCUGGGGAGUACGACCGCAAGGUUGAAACUCAAAGGAAUUGACGGGGGCCCGCACAGGCGGUGGAGCAUGUGGUUUAAUUCGAAGCAACGCGAAGAACCUUACCAAGUCUUGACAUCCUUUGACCACUCUAGAGAUAGAGCUUUCCCUUCGGGGGCAAAGUGACAGGUGGUGCAUGGUUGUCGUCAGCUCGUGUCGUGAGAUGUUGGGUUAAGUCCCGCAACGAGCGCAACCCCUAUUGUUAGUUGCCAGCAUUGAGUUGGGCACUCUAGCAAGACUGCCGGUGACAAACCGGAGGAAGGCGGGGAUGACGUCAAAUCAUCAUGCCCCUUAUGACUUGGGCUACACACGUGCUACAAUGGAUGGUACAACGGGCAGCGAGCUCGCGAGAGUCAGCGAAUCCCUUAAAGCCAUUCUCAGUUCGGAUUGUAGUCUGCAACUCGACUACAUGAAGCCGGAAUCGCUAGUAAUCGCGGAUCAGCACGCCGCGGUGAAUACGUUCCCGGGUCUUGUACACACCGCCCGUCACACCACGAGAGUUUGUAACACCCGAAGUCGGUGAGGUAACCUUUUGGAGCCAGCCGCCGAAGGUGGGACAAGUGAUUGGGGUG